GAAGCGGUGGACGCAACCCAUUACGGGGC
This 29-nucleotide small RNA is filed under the name Bombyx mori (domestic silkworm). RNAcentral's name for it is "ovarian small RNA-15245". Lineage: Eukaryota; Metazoa; Arthropoda; Insecta; Lepidoptera; Bombycidae. The record is from RNAcentral.